GACGAACGCUGGCGGCGUGCUUAACACAUGCAAGUCGAACGGAAAGGCCCUGCUUUUGUGGGGUGCUAGAGUGGCGAACGGGUGAGUAACACGUGAGUAACCUGCCCUUGACUUUGGGAUAACUUCAGGAAACUGGGGAUACUACCGGAUAGGAGCUCCUGCUGCAUGGUGGGGGUUGGAAAGUUUCGGCGGUUGUGGCUGGACUGGCGGCUUAUCAGCUUGUUGGUGGGGUAGUGGCUUACCAAGGCUUUGACUGGUAGCCGGCCUGAGAGGGUGACCGGCCACAUUGGUACUACGAUACGGCGCAGUCUCCUACGGGAGGCAGCAGUGGGGAAUAUUGCACAGUGGGCGGAAGCCUGAGGCAGCGACGCCGCGUGCGGGAUGACGGCCUUCUGGUUGUAAACCGCUUUCGCCUGUGACGAAGCGUGAGUGACGGUAAUGGGUGAAGGAGCACCGGCUAACUACGUG
Molecule: ribosomal RNA, 468 nt
Filed under: uncultured bacterium
Lineage: Bacteria
Description: partial 16S ribosomal RNA
Rfam family: Bacterial small subunit ribosomal RNA
Source: RNAcentral